UUUCCGUAGGUGAACCUGCGGAAGGAUCAUUAUUGUAUAACCGAGGUGCGAGGGCUGUCGCUGACCCGACAAGUCUUGCACGCCCGAGUUCCCUCACACACAUCCAUCUCACCCCUAAGUGCACCACCGCGUGGGUCCCCAUUUGGCUUGUUCGGAGGGGGGCUUACGUUUUCACACAAACUUUGUAUGCAGUGUAGAAUGUAUUUUUUGUUUUUGCGUUCACGCAAUCAAUAUAACUUUCAACAACGGAUCUCUUGGCUCUC
This 263-nucleotide unclassified non-coding RNA is filed under the name plant metagenome. RNAcentral's name for it is "partial contains small subunit ribosomal RNA, internal transcribed spacer 1, and 5.8S ribosomal RNA". The record is from RNAcentral.